AGGUCAAGAUAAUAAGGGCAUAAGGCGGAUGCCUUGGCACCAAGAGUCGAAGAAGGACGGGACAAGCACCGAAAUGCUUCGGGGAGUCGCAAAUAGGCUUAGAUCCGGAGAUAUCCGAAUGGGGGAACCCACUUGAGAAGACCUCAAGUAUCACUUACUAAAUAAAAUAGGUAAGUGAAGACAACCAGGGGAACUGAAACAUCUAAGUACCCUGAGGAAAAGAAAGAAACAUCGAUUUCCUAAGUAGCGGCGAGCGAACGGGAAAGAGCCCAAACCGAGCAAUCGGGGUUGAGGGGUUUGCGAAAAGUAAGAAAGUAAAGGUAGCUGAAUAAGCUGGGAAGCUUAACCGUAGAAGGUGAAAGUCCUGUAAGCGAAACCUUAAAAUCUGAAAGCAAACACCCAGAGUACCAUGGGACACGAGAAAUCCCGUGGGAAGCAGGGAGGACCACCUCCCAAGGCUAAAUACUACUUGGUGACCGAUAGAGAAGAAGUACCGUGAGGGAAAGGUGAAAAGAACCCCGGGAGGGGAGUGAAAAAGAACCUGAAACCUUAUGCCUACAAGCAGUGGGAGCACGUUAAAAGUGUGACCGCGUACUUUUUGUAGAACGGGCCAGCGAGUUAUGAUAUGCAGCGAGGUUAAGUACUAGAAGGUACGGAGCCGAAGGGAAACCGAGUCUUAAUAGGGCGAGAAGUUGUAUAUCAUAGACCCGAAACCGGGUGAUCUAUUCAUGGGCAGAGUGAAGUUUUAGUAAAGUAAAAUGGAGGCUCGAACUCAUUAGCGUUUAAAAGCUAUGGGAUGACCUGUGAAUAGGGGUGAAAAGCCAAUCGAACCCGGAGAUAGCUGGUUCUCCUCGAAAUAGCUUUAGGGCUAGCCUCAAAGGUAAGUGAGAUGGAGGUAGAGCACUGAAUGGACAAGGGGCUUAUAUAAGUUACCGAAGCCUAUCAAACUCCGAAUGCCAUACUCAUAACUUUGGGAGUCAGACUAUGUGGGAUAAGCUUCAUAGUCAAAAGGGAAACAGCCCAGACCACCAGCUAAGGUCCCAAAAUACGUAUUAAGUGUAAAAGGAUGUGAAGUUACACAGACAACCAGGAUGUUGGCUUAGAAGCAGCCAUACAUUCAAAGAGUGCGUAAUAGCUCACUGGUCGAGUGACUUUGCGCCGAAGAUUUCCGGGGCUUAAAUACGUUACCGAAGCUGUGGGAUUGUGAUAAACAAUCGGUAGAGGAGCAUUGUGUAGUAGGAAGAAGGCAUACCGAAAGGAGUGCUGGACAAGACACAAGAGAGAAUGCUGGCAUAAGUAGCGAAAGGUGAGUGAGAAUCUCACCCGUCGAAAGCCUAAGGUUUCCUGAGGAAGGCUCGUCCACUCAGGGUAAGUCGGGGCCUAAGCCGAGGCAGAAGAUGCGUAGGCGAUGGACAACAGGUUAUAAUUCCUGUACUAGUGACAAGCGCUAUAAGAGAAGUGGGGAAGCAGGAGGAUAGGUGAAGCGCACGGAUGGAAAUGUGCGUCCAAGUACGUAGGUAGGUAUUGUAGGCAAAUCCGCAAUACUGAAGAUCUGAGGUACGAUGGGGAUCGAAAAACAAGUAGAGAAGGAGCCAAAUCCACACUGCCAAGAAAAGCCACUAUCAAGCAAGUCACUACCCGUACCGCAAACCGACACAGGUAGGCGAGGAGAGAAUCCUAAGACGCGCGGAAGAACCUUUGUUAAGGAACUCGGCAAAAUAGCCCCGUAACUUCGGGAUAAGGGGUGCCAGGGUAAGUGAAAUAUCCAAGCGAUAAAGUAGUGAGAACCUGGCCGCAGUGAAAAGGCCCAAGCGACUGUUUACCAAAAACACAGGUCUCUGCUAAGUCGAAAGACGAAGUAUAGGGGCUGACACCUGCCCGGUGCUGGAAGGUUAAGGGGAAAGGUAAGCCGAAAGGCGAAGCUUAGAACUUAAGCCCCAGUAAACGGCGGCCGUAACUAUAACGGUCCUAAGGUAGCGAAAUUCCUUGUCGGGUAAGUUCCGACCCGCACGAAAGGUGUAACGAUUUGGGCACUGUCUCAACAAAGGAUCCGGUGAAAUUGUAGUAUACGUGAAGAUGCGUAUUACCCGCGACAGGACGGAAAGACCCCGUGGAGCUUUACUGCAGGCUGACAUUGGACUUUGGGAUCACUCGUACAGGAUAGGUGGGAGGCAAGGAAACAUAUGCGCCAGCAUAUGUGGAGCCGGCGUUGGGAUACCACUCUUGUGAUACUAGAGUUCUAACCUGAUACCAUGAAACUGGUAUAGGGACACUGUCAGUUGGGCAGUUUGACUGGGGCGGUCGCCUCCAAAAGAGUAACGGAGGCGCUCAAAGGUUUCCUCAGCACGGUUGGAAAUCGUGCGAAGAGUGUAAAGGCAGAAGGAAGCUUGACUGCGAGAAAGACAAUUCGAGCAGGAACGAAAGUUGGACUUAGUGAUCCGGUGGUACCGAGUGGAAGGGCCAUCGCUCAACGGAUAAAAGCUACCCCGGGGAUAACAGGCUUAUCUCCCCCAAGAGUUCACAUCGACGGGGAGGUUUGGCACCUCGAUGUCGGCUCGUCUCAUCCUGGGGCUGAAGCAGGUCCCAAGGGUUGGGCUGUUCGCCCAUUAAAGAGGCACGCGAGCUGGGUUCAGAACGUCGUGAGACAGUUCGGUCCCUAUCCGUCGUGGGCGUAGGAAAUUUGAGAGGAGCUGUCCUUAGUACGAGAGGACCGGGAUGGACAAACCUCUGGUGAAUCAGUUGUACUGCCAAGUGCAAAGCUGAGUAGCUAAGUUUGGAAGGGAUAAGAGCUGAAGGCAUCUAAGCACGAAGCCCCCCUCAAGAUGAGAUUUCCCAUCGAAAGAAUAAGGCACCAGAAAGACAAACUGGUAGAUAGGCCAAGAGUGUAAGAUCAGCAAUGAUUUAAGCUAAGUGGUACUAAUAUGCCGAAGACUUGACCUAA
This 2941-nucleotide ribosomal RNA is filed under the name Soehngenia longivitae. Its description in RNAcentral is "Soehngenia sp. 1933P 23S ribosomal RNA". It matches the Rfam family "Bacterial large subunit ribosomal RNA". Lineage: Bacteria; Bacillati; Bacillota; Tissierellia; Tissierellales; Tissierellaceae. The record is from RNAcentral.